RNAcentral lists this ribosomal RNA (464 nucleotides) under Vreelandella stevensii. Its description in RNAcentral is "partial 16S ribosomal RNA". It matches the Rfam family "Bacterial small subunit ribosomal RNA", at positions 338 to 794 of the family's 1533-position model. The record is from RNAcentral. Lineage: Bacteria; Pseudomonadati; Pseudomonadota; Gammaproteobacteria; Oceanospirillales; Halomonadaceae.
CCUACGGGAGGCAGCAGUGGGGAAUAUUGGACAAUGGGCGAAAGCCUGAUCCAGCCAUGCCGCGUGUGUGAAGAAGGCCUUCGGGUUGUAAAGCACUUUCAGUGGGGAAGAAAGCCUUGGGGCUAAUACCCUCGAGGAAGGACAUCACCCACAGAAGAAGCACCGGCUAACUCCGUGCCAGCAGCCGCGGUAAUACGGAGGGUGCGAGCGUUAAUCGGAAUUACUGGGCGUAAAGCGCGCGUAGGCGGUCUGAUAAGCCGGUUGUGAAAGCCCCGGGCUCAACCUGGGAACGGCAUCCGGAACUGUCAGGCUAGAGUGCAGGAGAGGAAGGUAGAAUUCCCGGUGUAGCGGUGAAAUGCGUAGAGAUCGGGAGGAAUACCAGUGGCGAAGGCGGCCUUCUGGACUGACACUGACGCUGAGGUGCGAAAGCGUGGGUAGCAAACAGGAUUAGAUACCCGGGUAGU